GCACUACGCUCGUGCCGCACGGAAUUCUGGGAGUUGUAGUUUCCUUGGAGAGGCAAGGUUCAAGAUGGCCUCCCAAAUGUUUUGAUGGGGAGGAUAGAUAGGGAGGGACUUGAGGGUGGGGACGACCGGCAGUAGAGGUGAAACUUAAAACUAAUUUGUGUACUUGCCCCACCCUUUUUUUUUCCCUUUGCUAUCAUCUUCAAAUGUCUCCUACUUUUGAGCCAAGAAAAACAGUACAAGUAUUCGAAUUCACACUAUUUGAAGUUAUAAUUAUGUAAAAUAUGGUAACUGGCUUCAGUGCAAUGGAAGUAUACUAAGUUCGAAUAAUACCACCGCUUAAGGGCAUUUCUUGUUAGCAUUAAUUGGGACCUCCUGAAUACGGAAUGACUUCAACAACUUAAACAGAAAAAGUAUCCGGAAAAACAAUCAGAAAUCAAUAUUGCAAAAUUACAAAAAAAACCCGAGAGAGCAAAUAUCAGAACACGCCCUGGCUGCAUACCUUUGUGGAGGGGUGGAGUCCCUGCAGAUUGCAGUGUUCUCUUCUCUGGAAGAUCGCGUUCUCCGGGAGCAGGUUUCGUGGGGAACUUCUGGAGGCAGCCUGCCUUGGCGUUCAGAGUUAAAACGCGGCCAGCUGUUAAAGAUUUGGCCUUCAUACUUAUGUGUGGGAUGUAGAAGACCCUUGCCCAAAAUGAUGACGCAGAGAUCACUCAGUAGAAAGCAGAAAGGUUGAUGAUGAGCUCUCCCAUCACAAGAUAAGGGAAAGAGAAAGCUCGAGGAACCUGCAAGGAACCUUCAUCAUGUUUUUCUGAAGAAUGCAGGUAUCCUGACUCUUACCUUUUGAAAUCUGUUAACAAAAUGGAGUUGAGGGUAGGUUAUAGGAAUGUUUAGAGGCACCACAACAAGGAGGAGGGUAAGCCUUUAUUAACUAAUAGAACUUCUGCAACUUGGUCAUUUCCCUCUGUAUUUGCUACUGAAAAACUAAAACCACUCACCAUCACUGAGACUUAUAUUUCCUUAAAUUGUUUAAAGUCAUUUAAAACCACCUAAAAUAAGAAUGCAUGCUAUUUUUGAGGAGUACAGCAAGAGGAAAAAGGAAUAAGAACCACAUAGGUUGGCAUCUUCUCCUAUAGUCUAAGCUGGGGGGUAGUAGGAACAUAGGUGGAGAGAUAUAUGGGUAUUACUAUAAAAACUCAGAGAAGUCCAAAGAGCAUCCUUAGGCUUACAGGUGGAAAAGUCAGAUUAUGGAUGUAAUGGGAUCAUACUAUGGCCAAAAGAGGUAUGAUUUCAGAGGGAAUAUCUCUUUCAUUUUGAAUUAAAUUUUGGGUUUUUCCCCUAUUCCUGUGAAGACUCUGAUUUGGGUAUAAAUGAAAGACCUCACUCAUUCAGAUAUUGACAGAAAAAGGCAACGUUUAAAAAUGAAACAGAAAGAUUUUUCAAAAGUAGCCUCUGAUUUAUGGGUAUCAGUCUCAGCUAAGCUGUUUCAUUUCAUAUAAAGAUACUUAAAAAAAAAAAGCUUUGUUAUAAACUAAUAUCUUGUUUCUAAUCUUCACAGCCUUUCCUCA
Molecule: long non-coding RNA, 1562 nt
Organism: Sarcophilus harrisii (Tasmanian devil)
Lineage: Eukaryota; Metazoa; Chordata; Mammalia; Dasyuromorphia; Dasyuridae
Exons: 3
Source: RefSeq, a predicted model, not a curated record